GGCUUAUAAUUGAAGUCUGGCAUGAAAGAAACUACGGGUAAUUACUGUCUCCCUUGGCCACCUUGAAUUUCCUUAAAGGGUGAAAAUGCCCUUUGAUAAAUAAUAGACGAGAAGACCCUAGAAAUUUUUUAUACCGUAAGAUAAUCUUAUUUCUAUUUUGUUGGGGCGACAGAAUAACAUGUAACUUGUUUUAUUUAAUAUGAACUAUAUAUAUUGAGCAAAAAUAAAUUACUCUAGGGAUAACAGCAUAAUUUGAUAAAGUUUGUGACCUCGAUGUUGGACUAGGGAUUUUAUUAACCAGCAGUUUAUGAAACAAGCUCUGU
RNAcentral lists this ribosomal RNA (323 nucleotides) under Candidula unifasciata. RNAcentral's name for it is "partial 16S ribosomal RNA". The record is from RNAcentral. Lineage: Eukaryota; Metazoa; Mollusca; Gastropoda; Stylommatophora; Geomitridae.